AUUCGGUUGAUGAGUCUCAAAUAGGACGAAACGCAUGUCCUGGAU
Molecule: non-coding RNA, 45 nt
Organism: Schistosoma mattheei
Lineage: Eukaryota; Metazoa; Platyhelminthes; Trematoda; Strigeidida; Schistosomatidae
Source: Rfam